Molecule: long non-coding RNA, 1599 nt
Filed under: Vitis vinifera (wine grape)
Lineage: Eukaryota; Viridiplantae; Streptophyta; Magnoliopsida; Vitales; Vitaceae
Description: long non-coding RNA (VVIN_LNC003416)
Source: RNAcentral
UGCCAUUCAUGUCAUUAAUGGCAUCAAUUGCUGAUCGAGGAUUUGUAAAGGUAACAAAGCCAUAGCAUUUUCCCCCAACGCCCCGCUCAUUAAUAAUCUGUUCACACAUGAUAUGUUUAAGAAACUAAACGUCAAAAAAAUGGAACCAUAAAACCAGCAGUCAAGUAAGUUCAAACAUGUGGACAAAUCAGUGGCUCAGAACAUUUAGACAGCAAAUUGAGGAUGACAAAUAGAGACAAAUGGAGAAAGAUUAGUUGAAGGGGAAGAACAUGCCAAUGGCACAUCAAAUCACAAUGUGUAAUGGAGGGAUGCCACAAUGAGAGACCUAUAAAUAUGACUUCCAAACGGAAAGAAGAGGACUCUUUCUCCACACCUGAACUGUCAAGAACAUUCCUACAGUAGUUUAUAACAUUCCUAAAGUAGUUUAUCUCAAUACAACUGUUCUUGCAUUUCAAUUCACUCAUCAAUAUCUGUGGUGUUGUCUCAGAAACCACAGGCUAUUCUUCAUAAUUUGGUGUCUCUUUAAUGUGAUUUUGCAUUUGCCCUGUUACGUUCUCCUAAAAAGCCAAAACCAUCCAUUAAAUCUUUGUUGCUUAAUCGCUAAAAAAAUAAAAAAUAAAUAAAUAAUUUAAACUUUUUUUUAAAAUUAAAAAUUUGAGUUCAUUUUCUCAUUUCUUCAAUUAAUUUGUCACUUUUAUCCUCUAUUAGCUUACAGCAGUGGGCUUCGUUUUACUUAAUUAAUCUUAUUCCAAAACGCUCCACCUUGGUGGAAUUGGCACAACGGCCAAUUAAGUUGAUGGCCUGGAAAAUUAUUAACUCCACCCAGCAAGAGACAAACGGAAAAAGAUCUAGGUGAAGAAUGUCCCUGACUUCCCCAUACUUUAACCAUUUUAAAGUCAGAGGAUCGCAUUCCAACCCCUUUGCACAGGUUAGGCUAAGAUCAGAUCAUCCAUGGACCAGGUCGAUUGAGCUGAAAGCUCUGGCACGCCCAGCAUGCAAUUGAAAUUUGAUACCCAGACUGAGCCCCUGUGUUGGGAGCUGAAGUUGAUUAUUGAGCCAAAACCUCAACAUAAAUACCCAUUACUUAAGCUACAUUUGUUUGCAUGCAAUUGGAUGGAGGUUCCAGUUCUGAAUCCACAGGAGGCUAGUUUGAAAUUGACCUUCCAGUCCAUAGACCCAAAUGCACAGGAAACACUUUCAAAAUGAAAAAACACUAAUUUCAAACUAAACCUAAACAGGAAGCCCUAUCUCUUUGGUAGUACCAAGAACAAGCCACAGAACAAACAGGACGAAGAAAUCAAAUUCCAUAUCAUUUAUCAAAUCUUUUCAGGUUGGAAGGAUUAGGUUAUAAAGAAAUGGUUGUUAUUAAUGCACCCCUACUAGAACGUAGAAAGAUUCCUUUGUUUCCAAGGAAAAUGAAAGGAAAAUUUGAUGGUAAAGAAAAAAAAAAGAAAAAGAAACCCUAGAGAAGAAAGAGAAACCUUAACAGCGACGAUGGCACCGUACAAAUUGAAGACCUUGCGGAUGCUGUCCUCGGUGGCAUUGUAAGGGAGUCCGCCCACGUAUAUGGAGUUGUCGUCGUCGAUCGUCAUUUCUCCG